RNAcentral lists this ribosomal RNA (484 nucleotides) under uncultured bacterium. Its description in RNAcentral is "partial 16S ribosomal RNA". It matches the Rfam family "Bacterial small subunit ribosomal RNA", at positions 30 to 507 of the family's 1533-position model. The record is from RNAcentral.
AUUGAACGCUGGCGGCAGGCCUAACACAUGCAAGUCGAGCGGAUGAAGGGAGCUUGCUCCUGGAUUCAGCGGCGGACGGGUGAGUAAUGCCUAGGAGUCUGCCUGGUAGUGGGGGAUAACGUCCGGAAACGGGCGCUAAUACCGCCUACGACCUGAGGGAGAAAGUGGGGGAUCUUCGGACCUCACGCUAUCAGAUGAGCCUAGGUCGGAUUAGCUAGUUGAUGGGGUAAAGGCCUACUAAGGCGACGAUCCGUAACUGGUCUGAGAGGAUGAUCAGUCACACUGGAACUGAGACACGGUCCAGACUCCUACGGGAGGCAGCAGUGGGGAAUAUUGGACAAUGGGCGAAAGCCUGAUCCAGCCAUGCCGCGUGUGUGAAGAAGGUCUUCGGAUUGUAAAGCACUUUAAGUUGGGAGGAAGGGCAGUAAGUUAAUACCUUGCUGUUUUGACGUUACCAACAGAAUAAGCACCGGCUAACUUCGUG